AUGUGAUUUCUGGGAAGAAAGGAUGCACAUGUCUGGUGUCCUCGAUAAGGUACGGUAGCAGUCUCCAUUUGAUGUGUGAAGAAAUUGCCUGGGGAAAGCUAAAUAACUCACCGUAAGGACUUAAGGAUGAAGAGAAGCUUAGAAUGCAGUUGAGGUGGCUUGAUACUUGGUAAUAAGCUAGGUGUAGUCACUGAACCAUGUCAGUUACUCUACUAAAGCAGAUUAAAACAUCCUCCACACAAGGUAUACAGAUCUCUAUCUGGGCUAUUUGGCUUUCUCAACCUUAGUCAUAGUUCAGAGAGAAGUGAACCAGGGCUUUCUGAAGAAUCUAGAAUAUUGGUCCUCUGUAUUAGAGAGUUCCUGGUAUCAGAAUAAGUAGGUAACAAAUGGCAAGUACUUGGAAUCUUUAGUAAAUAAAUGUGUCCCAGAGGACAGGAAAGAUGACCAAGUUUCAAGAGCCUGACACAUCAAUCAAGUUUGAAUAUGCUAGGAAUGCCCUCUCAAGAAGAGAAUGUGUAUGGCUUUUUUCUGCUGCCACCACAAGGAAAGAAUCACAUUGGCUAUUAGCUAGCUUCUUCUAGCAUAUGCUGCUUACAUUUGAAAGUCCUGUUUGUUUCACUUGGUGGAAGGUAUGGAUGGACAGCAGCUCUUUGAUCAGGGCUCAGCAGACAAAAAUCCUUUAGCAAGUCCAGGCUGCUGUGCCAGUCACCCUGACAUGUGCAUCCUGUCACUCAGCAAAGAAGACACAAGUGUUGUCCUUGUGGGGCCAGGUAGAGACACCAUGUGGCUGUGAUCUACAUUUGCUCUGAACCACCAGGAAGCUUUACUCGAAGUGCAUGCACAGUAAAAUGAAAGUGCUACUGGCAGGUUGUUGGGGAGAAGGGUGAAGGUAACUGCAGGUUAAUCAUAUUUUAAGAAUGAAGCUGGUACCAGAGAGAAAAGGAUUACCAAGCUGAGGAAGCAAAGGAAACUCAAGGAUUUGAACACUCCUCUUCCUCCAUUAAUACCUGAGAAAAAUAAGAACAAUACAAGAACCAACAAGCAGAGAUUCAGCGCUGAAAUGUACAUCUUGCAAGUUCAUGGUUUAAGAAGAUAAGAAAAAGCCUGAAAGAGAAAAGCUGAUAAAUUCUGUUACGAAUGAGUCGUGUCAACCAACUCAACUUGGAUUCAGGCACAGAUUAAAGGCUCGACAGCUAAAGACAAGUCAUCCCAAGCUGUCACAGACACUAGGCAAGAGUAAAGGUGGUAGAGUGAAGAUGCGGAGAUGGUGGAAGUUAGGUUUGGAUUUCAACAAGGAGUCAUUAGAAAUGAUGGCAGUGAUGGCUUGCAUGUUGGUAUGGCUGGCAAUUAUAAGAAAUCAGAGAAAACAGAAAAUAGGGCCCCUAGGAAGACUUUUACUUGUAUCAUUGCAGUGAUAAAAAUUACUGAUGGAAAAUUAUAAACUUUUGUCCUAAAAAGGAUGUACAACUUAUGGGUUUCACUUGUGAACAACAUGAUUACAUGUCUUAGAGUAGGGAAUGAGAUGAGUGGUUCUUUUUUCACAGAAAGAAACAGUGAGUUUUAAUGAGCUGUUUCAUUUAUGUUAGAAAUGAGUUCAUUUUCAUUUAUUUUAGAAGUUUAUAAAUCACAGGUGUGAGGUGAGUCUAGAAUAGAGGCAUAUUUCUGUUGAUAACUGGAAUCAAUAAAACUAUGUCCAGUUUGGGAACUGGAUGGAUCGGUGACUCUUUCUUGGGAUAGGUAAGAGUGUCAGAAAAAUCUGAGGGCAAACCUGAAGCACAAACCAAAUUCUUGUACAUAAUCUGUGUAGUACAUUCUGUGUGGUCAACUACUGUGAUAACGCAACUGGACUCUGCUAACUUGUCUCGCUACAAAUCAGUGCAGUAAUAUAACAAACCAAACCAAACCAAAAGAGAGAGACAGACAGAGACUGAAGUGACAAGAAAUGUUUGUGCUUCCAGAUCCGCUCCAGAUUGGUUUCACUGGAAACUUUCAUUGUCUUUAUUUACAUAAAGUAACAGCAGCUUGCAAUACUAUUUAUUGGCUCAUUACUCCUUAGAGAUGGCUCAGUGCCACUUCACAAGGAUGAGAACCUGAUUCUGGAUUCUUAGCAUGCACACAAAAACAUGCUAAUGCUAGGGAGGCAGAGGGGAGGAUCUGGGAACUUGCUGACCAAUUAGUCUACUCAAAACAUUGAGCCAGCUCCAGGUUCAGUGAGAGACUCUGCCUUCAAAAAUAAGGUGGAGAGUGAAUAAUGUCAACUUUUGACCUCCACACACAUAUAUGUGGGAGUGCUGGUUUUCCACUCUAGACAUGCACAUGUAUACCACACACACACACACACACACACACACACACACACACACUUUUUUCCCUCAAAUCCCUUCUGCCUGUACUUCCUAUUGAAGCAAAGAGAAUGAUUUGAAAAAGUUGGUUGGCUGUUCCUAUGAAUUGGAUCUCAUUCAUUAUGACUGAAGGCACUAUCAGUAUAAACUGUGGAAACUGAGGCCCCUCUAUUGGAAGAACCAGAAAUCUUGUUGCAAUGUGGAUUUAUAAGCAGUGGUUAUUUUGUCAAGCCAAUGCUGAUGGUAAGCAAUGCCUUUUAGCUGCAUAAAAAGAAACAGAUCCAAGGCUGGGAAGAUGGCUAUGAAGCAGCAGUGAAGAGCACUGGCAGCUCUUCCAUAGGAUUUAGAUUUUAUUCUCAGUACCCAGAUGGCAGCUCACAACCAUCUAUAACUCCAGUCCCAGGGGAUCCAUCACUCUCUUCUGGCCUGUAAGCCCACUGCACGGAUGUGGUGGGAAUACACUUAUACACAUAAAUAAAAUUUCAAAAAGGAGAAACACUUCAGUUAAAAAUUGUUAGAGACAUACUAAAAUAAAAAAUGCUCUUGAUUGAAUUAUGAU
Molecule: non-coding RNA, 2901 nt
Organism: Cricetulus griseus (Chinese hamster)
Lineage: Eukaryota; Metazoa; Chordata; Mammalia; Rodentia; Cricetidae
Source: RefSeq, a predicted model, not a curated record